AAAAGUAGAACUCAGGUGCUUGCGAAAACGAUCUCGUUAUUCCUUUAUAGGGCGAUGUCAACUCCUAUAAGUUUGGUGAGUUUGUUACACGUGUUCCUCACAUUCAGCUAUGACUUCUUUCUCGAUUAUUCGCGUUACGAGAUACACAGCCAGAUAUGCGGAGUCUUUUUGACUUGGCCUUCGAUCUAAGCCAAAUAUAUUUUAUGCGCAGACGUUACUUUACGAGAUUUC
This 231-nucleotide long non-coding RNA is filed under the name Brassica rapa (field mustard). Its description in RNAcentral is "long non-coding RNA (BRAP_LNC001405)". Lineage: Eukaryota; Viridiplantae; Streptophyta; Magnoliopsida; Brassicales; Brassicaceae. The record is from RNAcentral.